Molecule: long non-coding RNA, 594 nt
Filed under: Gossypium raimondii (Peruvian cotton)
Lineage: Eukaryota; Viridiplantae; Streptophyta; Magnoliopsida; Malvales; Malvaceae
Description: long non-coding RNA (GRAI_LNC006924)
Source: RNAcentral
UUAUUUCUGUGUUGGAAUUAGUUUAGCCUUUUUCAGCUAUUUCAAUAAACUAUAUUAUUGCAUUAAAACCAAAAAAAAAAAAUUAUAUUAUCAUUUUCUAUAAAUAAAAAAAAGUACUUAAAUUAGUAAAAAAGAGAAAAAUAUAAAUAAAAAACGAAAAUAUUACCGAAGAGACACUAAAAACCCCGAUCCAAUCCCGCCGGAAGCUCACAUUUCUUUUUUAUCUACAAUCCAAACAAAUAAUAAUUACAAUAAUGAACUAAAAAAAGAAGAACAAGAAAAAAGAAAGAAAUACCAGAAUCUUCACACAUGAAUUAAUAUUUACCUAAACCUUAUUAGAGGCCAUUUUGAUCUACAGACAAUAGGAAUGUAUUGUUUUUUUUUUUUGGGGGGGGGGAAUGACUAGAGUUUACUCCAAGUGGCCAUAUUACAACAAAAAGCUUAACCCAUGAAACAAGAAGAAAAGAACUUGUAAAAAUAGAAACAACUUAAGCUAUGAUGAUAAGAGAGCAAAAAAUGUAGCAAUGAUUCGAUUUGAUAUAUAAAUCUACAAAUGAAAGUUAGAAAUAGGAAUUUGAGUGGUGGGUCUAUUAC